Long non-coding RNA from Sinocyclocheilus rhinocerous, 123 nucleotides. RefSeq lists it as uncharacterized. The transcript is spliced from 4 exons. NCBI's taxonomy places the organism in Eukaryota, Metazoa, Chordata, Actinopteri, Cypriniformes, Cyprinidae. The record is from RefSeq and is a predicted model, not a curated record.
ACAUUUAACAUUAUGUUUUAUUUAGCUUUUCACUGGUCAAAGUAUAUAUGCUGCUGUCCUUUUUUAGUGUACUUUAUGAAUAUUUGUAAUGUACACAACAAUAUAUAAUACAUUAAAGUUUUC